Molecule: ribosomal RNA, 2137 nt
Filed under: Candidatus Pacebacteria bacterium CG11_big_fil_rev_8_21_14_0_20_34_55
Lineage: Bacteria; Bacillati; Minisyncoccota
Source: RNAcentral
CAGCAACCGGGAAUAUUGCGCAAUGGACGAAAGUCUGACGCAGCGACACCGCGUGUGGGAAGACGCUUUUCGGAGUGUAAACCACUGUGGCGAGGGAUGAAUUUUUGACAGUACCUCGCUAGAAAGCACCAGCUAACCACGUGCCAGAAGCUUCGGUAAUACGUGGGGUGCAAGCGUUAUCCGGAUUUAUUGGGCGUAAAGGGUCCGUCGGCGUUUUUAUUAGUCUUUUGUUUAAGCCUGGGGCUCAACUUCAGAGGGGCAAAAGAUACUGUAAAAAUAGAGUCUGUUUGAGGAAACUAGAAUUCUUGGUGGAGGGGUGAAAUCCGUAGAUAUCAAGAGGAAUACCAUGCGCGAAGGCAGGUUUCUACAACAUGACUGACGCUCAGGGACGAAAGCUUGGGUAGCAAAAGGGAUUAGAGACCCCUGUAGUCCAAGCCGUAAACUAUCUUUGCUAGUUGCUCGAGUUUACUUGAGUGGCGUAAGCUAACGCGUUAAGCAAAGCGCCUGGGGAGUACGACCGCAAGGUUAAAACUCAAAGGAAUUGACGGGGGAGCGCACAACCGGUGGAGUAUGUGGUUUAAUUCGAUACAAAGCGAAAAACCUUACCCAGAUUUGACAUGUACCUGCACGGCUAUGGAAACAUAGCUUUCUUCGAGAGUGGUACACAGGUGAUGCAUGGCUGUCGUCAGCUCGUGUCGUGAGACGUCUACUUAAGUGUAGUAACGAGCGCAACCCUUGUUCUGUGUUAUAAGUGUCACAGAAGACUGCCUUUGUUAUACAAAGGAGGAAGGAGAGGAUGACGUCAAGUCAGCAUGUCCCUUACAUCUGGGGCAACACACAUUCUACAAUGGAGCCGACAACAGGUCGCAACGGGGCAACCCCGAGCUAAUCCUCUAAACGGCCCCUCAGUUCGGAUUGAGGGCUGCAAUUCGCCCUCAUGAAGCCGGAAUCGGUAGUAAUCGCAAAUCAGCAUGUUGCGGUGAAUACGUUCUCGCUCCUUGUACAAAUUAAAAUGCGCCUUCCGCGCAUAUUAUCCAGUUGGUUAAAAUCCAACCUAUCAUUGAAAUAAGCAAUUAGAAGCAAAAUCGCAGUCCUAAGGAAAGUAAUUUCCAGGACGAAGGGUGAAAGUAGCAAAAAUCAGCUUGAAGUUAAUUCGACAUUUUAUAUCUGACGAUCCUACACGUACAAAUGGAGAAGUCACUUAUUUAACAUCUUAAAUGAUGUAAGGAAUAAAAUGCAUUUGGGCUCGAGAUGAUUUUGAAUGGAAAAUAUGUGAACGAAGGGAGAUCCUAAAAAUACCUGAGUUUCGUUUGUUUACUAACAACGAGAUUUUCAGUAUGAUAGCGGUAACAACAUCAAAUACUUUUUAGGAAGUCUGCAGAGGUCAUAGUACUUUUAAAAAAAGCAUUGAAAAAUGCAAAUAUUAAAGGAAGGACCAAACUUAGUCAAAAAAAAUGAAUCUACCUCCUGAUUAUGUGUGCGGAUUCGUCGAUGGUGAAGGUUGCUUUACUAUCGUUAUAUCUAAACACAAAACGAAAAAACUUGGUCUAGAUGCUCGACUUCAUUUUGAAAUCGAACUUCGAGAUGAUGAUGAGGAAAUUCUUCAAAGCAUUCAACAAACUUUGAAUUGCGGAAGAAUUUACCACCUUAGCUAUGAACGCUACUGAUGGAAUCCUCAUGUAGAAUUAAAAGUUUCUUCAAUCAAGGAAAUUAGGGAAAAACUCAUUCCGUUCUUUCAGAAACACAAACUGCGAGGCAAAAAACGAAAAUCUUUCGAGCUUUUUGUCAAAGCAGCCAAAGUUUUUGAAAAUCGUGAGCAUCUUACAAUGGAAGGAAUAGAAAAAUUGCGUGAAAUUCGUAGAAAUAUGAAUAAAUAUAGCAAAAAAAGAGACUAAGGGUUCGCCAUGGUGCGGGAAAACCGCGCGCCAGGCGGCGAGAGACACGAAAUUAAGCCAGCAAUGGCACGAUGAUCUCAGAACACUGCCCGUCAAGCCAGCAAAGUCAGCAGCGCCCGAAGCGGGUGACCAUAACCAGUUUACUGGGGUGGCCCUUCUACGGUGAGGUUGGCAAUGAGGACUAAGUCGUAACAAGGUAUCCGUACUGGAAGGUGCGGAUGGAUCACCUCCUUUCUAAGGAG